AUCAACGCUGGCGGCGUGCCUCAGACAUGCAAGUCGAACGCGAAAGUCCCCUUCGGGGGGCAAGUAGAGUGGCGCACGGGUGAGUAACACGUAGGUAAUCUACCUUCGGGUGGGGAAUAACCCAGGGAAACUUGGGCUAACACCGCAUAAUGCAGCGGCACCACAUGGUGACAGUUGUUAAAGCGGGGGAUUUUUAGGACCUCGCGCCUGAAGAGGAGCCUGCGGCAGAUUAGCUAGUUGGUAAGGUAACGGCUUACCAAGGCGACGAUCUGUAACCGGCCUGAGAGGGCGGUCGGUCACACUGACACUGACAUACGGGUCAGACUCCUACGGGAGGCAGCAGUCGGGAAUUUUGGGCAAUGGGCGAAAGCCUGACCCAGCAACGCCGCGUGAAGGAUGAAAUCCCUCGGGAUGUAAACUUCG
RNAcentral lists this ribosomal RNA (423 nucleotides) under uncultured bacterium. RNAcentral describes it as "bacterial SSU rRNA". It matches the Rfam family "Bacterial small subunit ribosomal RNA", at positions 32 to 434 of the family's 1533-position model. The record is from RNAcentral.